RNAcentral lists this small nuclear RNA (174 nucleotides) under Vulpes vulpes (red fox). Its description in RNAcentral is "U4 spliceosomal RNA (ENSVVUG00000018165.1)". The stretch from base 1 to 74 matches the Rfam family "U4 spliceosomal RNA". The record is from RNAcentral. Lineage: Eukaryota; Metazoa; Chordata; Mammalia; Carnivora; Canidae.
AGCUUUGCGCAGUGGCAGUAUCAUAGCCAAUGAGGUUUAUCCUAGGUGUGAUUAUUGCUAAUUGAAAACAUAAGGAUCCUCAUGAUCUUAUCAGUUCCCAAAGGCCCCACCUCCUAAUACCAUCACAUUAGGGAUUAUAUUCCAACAUAUAAAUUUUGGGGAACCCAUUCAGUU